AUAGCAGGCUGCAAUUGCAGUGCUUCCUGCUGUGGGAGUACUGCCAUUCCCCUGCUCAGAGUAACCCUGUUAACGCUGCCUUUGGUUUCACCUCUGUGUCGGUGAGGCUGUUUGUCCUUAACAUGAACACGA
Molecule: small nucleolar RNA, 132 nt
Organism: Coturnix japonica (Japanese quail)
Lineage: Eukaryota; Metazoa; Chordata; Aves; Galliformes; Phasianidae
Source: Ensembl